AUUGAACGCUGGCGGCAGGCCUAACACAUGCAAGUCGAGCGGAUGAAGGGAGCUUGCUCCUGGCUUCAGCGGCGGACGGGUGAGUAAUGCCUAGGAAUCUGCCUUGUAGUGGGGGAUAACGUCCGGAAACGGGCGCUAAUACCGCAUACGUCCUGAGGGAGAAAGUGGGGGAUCUUCGGACCUCACGCUAUCAGAUGAGCCUAGGUCGGAUUAGCUAGUUGGUGGGGUAAAGGCCUACCAAGGCGACGAUCCGUAACUGGCCUGAGAGGAUGAUCAGUCACACUGGAACUGAGACACGGUCCAGACUCCUACGGGAGGCAGCAGUGGGGAAUAUUGGACAAUGGGCGAAAGCCUGAUCCAGCCAUGCCGCGUGUGUGAAGAAGGUCUUCGGAUUGCAAAGCACUUUAAGUUGGGAGGAAGGGCAGUAAGUUAAUACCUUGCUGUUUUGACGUUACCAACAGAAUAAGCACCGGCUAACUUCGUG
Molecule: ribosomal RNA, 484 nt
Filed under: uncultured bacterium
Lineage: Bacteria
Description: partial 16S ribosomal RNA
Rfam family: Bacterial small subunit ribosomal RNA
Source: RNAcentral